Monodelphis domestica (gray short-tailed opossum) is the source of this 119-nucleotide ribosomal RNA. The record is from Ensembl. Lineage: Eukaryota; Metazoa; Chordata; Mammalia; Didelphimorphia; Didelphidae.
GUCUACGGCCAUACCACCCUGAACGCACCCGAUCUCGUCUGGUCUCGGAAGCUAAGCAGGGUCGGGCCUGGUUAGUUCUUGGAUGGGAGACCGCCUGGGAAUACCGGGUGCUGUAGGCU